CUAAUUUUCGGCGGGAACAAAUAAUAAUCGACAAAAGUUUCCUAAAUUAUAGGGUGAUACAAAAGGGUAUGUGGGCCAUACACAGCAUGUGCAUGCAUGUGCUUCUUCUAUCUCCAAUUGCCCCCACCAUUUUCCCUCUCCUUUUGAAACAAAUAAAAUGGUCCGUCUUCUCAUUUCUUCCUUACCUCUCUGUCUCUCCCCCCCUUCCCCUUCUCUUUCUCUCGUAGAUUUCAAGAACUCGUGAGGUGACAGUAGAUUUCCUAUAAGUAAUCGUUCAAACUCAACCAAAAGAAGAAGAAGAAAAAAUCUACAAAAAAGAUUUAGGAUGCAACCUACGAGCUCAAUGAAGGAAGAAUUUCUAAAGAAAUGGUAAAUGGGCCUUCAGAUAUACCGUCCUUUGAUAGACAACACGAGCGUCUCCGAGAGAAGGAAAGCGAUAAAGCUCUCUGCAGACGUUGCAAUGGCAUCUUUAAGGAGAGGAACAACUUGUUGGAGCCGAGUGAUACACUAAAAAUGAAUUCUUGCUACUGCCAAGUUAACAGUUGCAAUUGUAGUACUUGAGAUUCAAAUCCAGAGGACCAGUCUACACUCUAGUUCUAUAAGUUUCAGAAUCAAGCUAAGAAGAAGAUAUGAUUUGGUUGAAA
This is a long non-coding RNA of Raphanus sativus (radish), 644 nucleotides long. RefSeq lists it as uncharacterized. The transcript is spliced from 2 exons. Lineage: Eukaryota; Viridiplantae; Streptophyta; Magnoliopsida; Brassicales; Brassicaceae. The record is from RefSeq and is a predicted model, not a curated record.